GUGAAAUCCCCGGGCUCAACCUGGGAAUGGCGAUGGAGACUGCAAGGCUAGAGUUUGGCAGAGGGGGGUAGAAUUCCACGUGUAGCAGUGAAAUGCGUAGAUAUGUGGAGGAAUACCGAUGGCGAAGGCAGCCCCCUGGGAUAACACUGACGCUCAUGCACGAAAGCGUGGGGAGCAAACAGGAUUAGAUACCCUGGUAGUCCAUGCCGUAAACGAUGUCUACUAGCCGUUGGGAGCCUUGAGCUCUUAGUGGCGCAGCUAACGCAUUAAGUUGACCGCCUGGGGAGUACGGCCGCAAGGCUAAAACUCAAAGGAAUUGACGG
RNAcentral lists this ribosomal RNA (323 nucleotides) under uncultured Chaetoceros. Its description in RNAcentral is "partial Bacterial small subunit ribosomal RNA". It matches the Rfam family "Bacterial small subunit ribosomal RNA", at positions 594 to 916 of the family's 1533-position model. Lineage: Eukaryota; Bacillariophyta; Thalassiosirophyceae; Chaetocerotales; Chaetocerotaceae. The record is from RNAcentral.